Molecule: ribosomal RNA, 502 nt
Filed under: uncultured bacterium
Lineage: Bacteria
Description: partial 16S ribosomal RNA
Rfam family: Bacterial small subunit ribosomal RNA
Source: RNAcentral
GAUGAACGCUAGCGGCAGGCUUAAUACAUGCAAGUCGAGGGGCAGCGCAGUGUAGCAAUACAUGGGCGGCGACCGGCAAACGGGUGCGGAACACGUACGCAACCUUCCUUUAAGUGGGGGAUAGCCCAGGGAAACUUGGAUUAAUACCCCGUAAUAUUAUGAAGUGGCAUCACUUUAUACUUAUAGCUCCGGCGCUUAAAGAUGGGCGUGCGACUGAUUAGGUAGGUGGCGGGGUAACGGCCCACCAAGCCUGCGAUCAGUAACUGGUGUGAGAGAACGACAAGUCACACGGGCACUGGAACACGGGCCCGACUCCUACGGGAGGCAGCAGUAAGGAAUAUUGGUCAAUGGACGCAAGUCUGAACCAGCCAUGCCGCGUGGAGGAUGAAGGUCCUCUGGAUUGUAAACUUCUUUUAUUUGGGAAGAAACCCACUGUUUCUACGGUGGUUGACGGUACCAGAUGAAUAAGCACCGGCUAACUCCGUGCCAGCAGCCGCGGUAA